GACGAACGCUGGCGGCGUGCUUAACACAUGCAAGUCACGGGGGUCCCGCAAGGGAUAACCGGCGAACGGGUGCGUAACACGUGAGCAACCUGCCGUACUCAGGGGGAUAGCCGGCCCAACGGCCGGGUAAUACCGCAUACGAUUCUUCGGGGGAGUCCCCGGGGAAGGAAACCUCUGGGGGAGUACGAGGGGCUCGCGGCCUAUCAGCUAGUUGGUGCGGUAACGGCGCACCAAGGCGACGAUCGGUAGCUGGUCNGAGAGGAUGACCAGCAUCACUGGGACUGAGACACGGCCCAGACUCCUACGGGAGGCAGCAGUGGGGAAUAUUGGACAAUGGGCGCAAGCCUGAUCCAGCCAUGCCGCGUGGAUGAUGAAGGCCCUAGGGUUGUAAGUCCUUUUAACGGGAAGAUAAUGACGGUACCCGUAGAAUAAGCCCCGGCUAACUUC
Molecule: ribosomal RNA, 447 nt
Filed under: uncultured bacterium
Lineage: Bacteria
Description: bacterial SSU rRNA
Rfam family: Bacterial small subunit ribosomal RNA
Source: RNAcentral